AGAUUUUUGGAAUCGAUUACUGGUAACUUUCAGUGAAUUUUCAUUGCUUGAGUUAUCGACUAUUAAAUUCCUAGUAGAGUUUUCAUAAAAUUCAUACAUUUUCCAAAAUGCUGGCUAUCAGGAACCUUCUUAGGAGCAACCCAACAAUCGUUAAAAAUGUCGUUCAGCAGAGAAAUAUGAGCGGAGUCGCCAUUCCGCCAAGGGCCAAUGUUUCUAAAGGAGAGAUAAUUGUCCUAGCUGGUUCGAUGGUGGUGGCCUGGCUCACCAUCCCCGCUUGGGUUCUGGUCAACAUUAAACACUACCGUGACAAGAUCUAAGCGUCUAGAAAAAAUCAAUAUGUAGAGUAUAAUAAAAUUGUUUUAAGUAAACAUUAAUUUAACAGUU
This is a long non-coding RNA of Vanessa tameamea, 384 nucleotides long. RefSeq lists it as uncharacterized. The record is from RefSeq and is a predicted model, not a curated record. Lineage: Eukaryota; Metazoa; Arthropoda; Insecta; Lepidoptera; Nymphalidae. The transcript has 2 exons.